RNAcentral lists this small RNA (585 nucleotides) under Pongo abelii (Sumatran orangutan). Its description in RNAcentral is "processed transcript". Lineage: Eukaryota; Metazoa; Chordata; Mammalia; Primates; Hominidae. The record is from RNAcentral.
GGUGUCUGUGCCGCUGCUGAAGACGCUGGACCACGUGCUCACCCACGGCUGCUUCGACAUCUUCACCACGGAGGAGGACCACCCCUUUGCUGUGAAGUUGCUUGCGCUUUGUAAGAAAGAAAUCAAGAAUUCAAAAGACGUCCAGAAACUCCUGUCAGGCAUUGCAGUGUUCUGCGGGAUGGUGCAGUUCCCCGGCGAUGUGAGGAGGAAGGCCCUCCUGCAGCUGUGUCUGCUCCUCUGCCACCGCUUCCCACUGAUCCGGAAGACUACGGCCAGCCAGGUGUACGAGACAUUGCUCACCUACAGUGACAUCGUGGGCGCGGACGUGCUGGACGAGGUGGUGACUGUGCUCAGUGACACCGCGUGGGACGCGGAGCUUGCAGUGGUGAGAAAGCAGCGCAACCGUCUGUGUGACCUCCUGGGCGUGCCCAGGCCCCAGCUGGUGCCCCAGCCUGGUGCCUGCUGAAGCCAGUCCUGGAGCCCAUACCGGAGCCCAUACCUCACCCUGCUUGGUGAGGAUGUCUUGUUCCUGAAGGAGGCCGGUGUGGAAAGCCUGGCACAGUGGUGCCUCCAGCUGUUGAAGGG